AUUGAACGCUGGCGGCAGGCCUAACACAUGCAAGUCGAACGAGUGGCGGACGGGUGUGUAAUGUCUGGGAAACUGCCCGAUGUAGGGGGAUAACAACUGGAAACGGUGGCUAAUACCGCAUACCCUCGGAUGUGCCCAGAUGGGAUUAGCUUGUAGGUGGGGUAACGGCUCACCUAGGCGACGAUCCCUCGCUGGUCUGAGAGGAUGACCAGCCACACUGGAACUGAGACACGGUCCAGACUCCUACGGGAGGCAGCAGGGGGGAAUAUUGCACAAUGGGCGCAAGCCGGAUGCAGCCAUGCCGCGUGUAUGAAGAAGGCCUUCGGGUUGUAAAGUACUUUCAGCGGGGAGGCGUUACCCGCAGAAGAAGCACCGGCUAACUCCGUGCCAGCAGCCGCGGUAAUUC
This 406-nucleotide ribosomal RNA is filed under the name uncultured bacterium. RNAcentral describes it as "partial 16S ribosomal RNA". It matches the Rfam family "Bacterial small subunit ribosomal RNA", at positions 30 to 526 of the family's 1533-position model. The record is from RNAcentral.